Molecule: ribosomal RNA, 693 nt
Filed under: uncultured Clostridium sp.
Lineage: Bacteria; Bacillati; Bacillota; Clostridia; Eubacteriales; Clostridiaceae
Description: bacterial SSU rRNA
Rfam family: Bacterial small subunit ribosomal RNA
Source: RNAcentral
GGGCCGUAGAUGGGUAUAGGUGUAGGAGGUAUCGACCCCUUCUGUGCCGUCGUUAACACAAUAAGUACCCCGCCUGGGGAGUACGGUCGCAAGACUAAAACUCAAAGGAAUUGACGGGGGCCCGCACAAGCAGCGGAGCAUGUGGUUUAAUUCGAAGCAACGCGAAGAACCUUACCUAGACUUGACAUCUCCUGCAUUACCCUUAAUCGGGGAAGCCCUUCGGGGCAGGAAGACAGGUGGUGCAUGGUUGUCGUCAGCUCGUGUCGUGAGAUGUUGGGUUAAGUCCCGCAACGAGCGCAACCCUUAUUUUUAGUUGCUACCAUUCAGUUGAGCACUCUAAAGAGACUGCCCGGGUUAACCGGGAGGAAGGUGGGGAUGACGUCAAAUCAUCAUGCCCCUUAUGUCUAGGGCUACACACGUGCUACAAUGGUGAGAACAAAGAGACGCAAGACCGCGAGGUGGAGCAAAUCUCACAAAACUCAUCCCAGUUCGGAUUGCAGGCUGAAACUCGCCUGCAUGAAGCCGGAGUUGCUAGUAAUCGCGAAUCAGCAUGUCGCGGUGAAUACGUUCCCGGGCCUUGUACACACCGCCCGUCACACCAUGAGAGUUGGCAAUACCCGAAGUCCGUGGGGCAACCGUUUACGGAGCCAGCGGCCGAAGGUAGGGUCAGCGAUUGGGGUGAAGUCGUAACAA